AGCAAUAAUAGUUUAAUAAAGAACAUUGGUCUUGUAAGCCAAAGGUGAAUAAUUAUUUCUUAUUGUUA
RNAcentral lists this transfer RNA (68 nucleotides) under Ficus variegata (in: gastropods). RNAcentral describes it as "Ficus variegata Roding, 1798 tRNA-Thr". It matches the Rfam family "tRNA". Rfam says of the family: Transfer RNA (tRNA) molecules are approximately 80 nucleotides in length. Their secondary structure includes four short double-helical elements and three loops (D, anti-codon, and T loops). The record is from RNAcentral. Lineage: Eukaryota; Metazoa; Mollusca; Gastropoda; Littorinimorpha; Ficidae.